CUGCAAUCUGUCCCCAUCUCCUUCUGUCACCUCCGUCUCUGACUGAGCCAGAGAAUCCAGGUCCUUUUAACUCUCUCCCUCAUCUUUACAUCUAACUUGUCUCCAUGUCCAGAAGUUUCUGCCAGCUAAACUGCCCCCCAACCCAGGUACCACACUCUUUCCUGGAUCCUCCCCAUGGCCCCUUUGCUGCUUCUGUCCUUGUCUUCCUACAGUCCAUGCUCCAUGUGCAACCAGGAUUUAGGAUUAUGAUAUGUUGAUCAGAAUUCAGCGUAAGUGAGACUGCGUUUCCCAGCUCCGAGCCCUCUGUGGCUCCUGGUGGUCCUAGAGGGAAAAGCCAAUGCUAUCACUGUGAACUAUGAGACCCAGACUAGCCUCCUCCCUGUCGGCUGGACACACCAGUUACAGCCCACCACAGGCCCUUUGCACGUGCUAUAGAGUCUUCUAGCUUCUACCAGCUGAGUCCCACCUUCGGCUCUCAGCCCAGAAGUUUGAGUUCAGGGAACCUGGAGCCUGCAAGCAUUCUGAACCUGAUUCAGCUGAUGAUAAGCAAGGAUCAGAGACCUCUGGCAGGGGUUUUGGGACCAUCCAUUCAGGGUGGAGCAUGCAGGGCAGACUUGAGCCGGGGGAGGCUGGGCCAGAGGAAUAGAGGGCGGGACAGAGACCAGUGACUGCAGUGUCCACGUGGACUGGGGCAGAAGGAAGUAUGGUGAGCCGAGCGCCUGCACAGAGCUGGAUCUGACCCCAGGACACACUCGCUACUCCAUGUGGUCUGCCCUGGGCUUUGAACCUGGAGUACGCGUCGGGGUGCGCAGCGGCCUGGCCGUCGAUGAUGGGGAGAACCUCCCCAAGCCCGGCCCCCAGAGCUCGGAGCGUCAGAGACAAGUGAGUUGCUGUCUCCCACUGCUUCCGGGUGCCGCCUGCUGGCUUCCCCGCUCCUGUGAUGGGGACAUUUUUGGAGAAAUUAAAAAUAAAGUUGUUGUUUUUUUUUUUCUAAAUUAUGAAAUGAACAUGGUUGGGGGGGUUUCUAAAAUAAACGUAUUAAGAUACUCUGCCGACAGGCGUGUGCCCGGGAGCAAGGACAUGGAGCUGAUGUGAGUGGCAGCCGGACCGCAGGCAGCCUUACUCGAGAGCUCUGCGCUCCUCCCGGCUGAGUCAUAAAAAUCAGAAAACGAAGUGUGAGCGCACGGACUCCGGAUACUAACGGGGAGGGGUUCUUUCCGCGGCUGUCGGCUUGUUCCCACUGACCCGGGUGCCCCCAACCAGCCCGAGCCAGUGGGGGUCCAGCAGCUGCUCUUACACCCUCCUGUCUCUUUUCUAUGACAAACCCCUUGAUUUUCUAAGCAGGUAACUCACAGAAUGGCUUAGAGCCCUCUCUGGCUCCCUACUGCCCGGGAAUGAAAUCCCAGCUCCUGGUCUCAGCCUCCCUGGCUGGUGUGAGCCGGCCCUGGCGGCUCUCAGGCGCCGCUCUCAGGAGCCACUCUCCCACCAGAUGUCCUGCUGGGCUCCUUCUUGCCCCUUAGUCCUAGUUCCAAAGUCCCUGGGUGUCCGCUGAGAUGUCACCCCUGCUCCCCAGACCCCAGAUAGCUUCCCGCGUCUCCUUGUCUAAGCUUCCCCACCCC
Molecule: long non-coding RNA, 1619 nt
Filed under: Mustela putorius furo (domestic ferret)
Lineage: Eukaryota; Metazoa; Chordata; Mammalia; Carnivora; Mustelidae
Description: lncRNA (ENSMPUG00000030136.1)
Source: RNAcentral